GGGAUUGUAGCUCAGCUGGGAUGAGCGUUCGCCUCACACGCGAGAGGUCACGGGUUCGAGCCCCGUCAAUCCCA
This 74-nucleotide transfer RNA is filed under the name Lachnospiraceae bacterium. RNAcentral describes it as "tRNA-Val". It matches the Rfam family "tRNA". Rfam says of the family: Transfer RNA (tRNA) molecules are approximately 80 nucleotides in length. Their secondary structure includes four short double-helical elements and three loops (D, anti-codon, and T loops). Further hydrogen bonds mediate the characteristic L-shaped molecular structure. tRNAs have two regions of fundamental functional importance: the anti-codon, which is responsible for specific mRNA codon recognition, and the 3' end, to which the tRNAs corresponding amino acid is attached (by aminoacyl-tRNA synthetases). tRNAs cope with the degeneracy of the genetic code in two manners: having more than one tRNA (with a specific anti-codon) for a particular amino acid; and 'wobble' base-pairing, i.e. permitting non-standard base-pairing at the 3rd anti-codon position. Lineage: Bacteria; Bacillati; Bacillota; Clostridia; Lachnospirales; Lachnospiraceae. The record is from RNAcentral.